CCUACGGGCGGCAGCAGUGGGGAAUAUUGGACAAUGGGCGAAAGCCUGAUCCAGCCAUGCCGCGUGUGUGAAGAAGGCCUUCGGGUUGUAAAGCACUUUCAGUGGGGAAGAAAGCCUUGGGGCUAAUACCCUCGAGGAAGGACAUCACCCACAGAAGAAGCACCGGCUAACUCCGUGCCAGCAGCCGCGGUAAUACGGAGGGUGCGAGCGUUAAUCGGAAUUACUGGGCGUAAAGCGCGCGUAGGCGGUCUGAUAAGCCGGUUGUGAAAGCCCCGGGCUCAACCUGGGAACGGCAUCCGGAACUGUCAGGCUAGAGUGCAGGAGAGGAAGGUAGAAUUCCCGGUGUAGCGGUGAAAUGUGUAGAGAUCGGGAGGAAUACCAGUGGCGAAGGCGGCCUUCUGGACUGACACUGACGCUGAGGUGCGAAAGCGUGGGUAGCAAACAGGAUUAGAUACCCCAGUAGUC
This 465-nucleotide ribosomal RNA is filed under the name Vreelandella stevensii. RNAcentral's name for it is "partial 16S ribosomal RNA". It matches the Rfam family "Bacterial small subunit ribosomal RNA", at positions 338 to 795 of the family's 1533-position model. Lineage: Bacteria; Pseudomonadati; Pseudomonadota; Gammaproteobacteria; Oceanospirillales; Halomonadaceae. The record is from RNAcentral.